RNAcentral lists this ribosomal RNA (462 nucleotides) under uncultured bacterium. RNAcentral describes it as "partial 16S ribosomal RNA". It matches the Rfam family "Bacterial small subunit ribosomal RNA", at positions 28 to 507 of the family's 1533-position model. The record is from RNAcentral.
GACGAACGCUGGCGGCGUGCUUAACACAUGCAAGUCGAGCGGAAAGGCCCUUCGGGGUACUCGAGCGGCGAACGGGUGAGUAACACGUGAGUAACCUGCCCCAGACUUUGGGAUAACCCUCGGAAACGGGGGCUAAUACCGGAUACGACACAGCUUCGCAUGGGGUCUGUGUGGAAAGUUUUUCGGUUUGGGAUGGGCUCGCGGCCUAUCAGCUUGUUGGUGGGGUGAUGGCCUACCAAGGCGACGACGGGUAGCCGGCCUGAGAGGGCGACCGGCCACACUGGGACUGAGACACGGCCCAGACUCCUACGGGAGGCAGCAGUGGGGAAUAUUGCACAAUGGGCGGAAGCCUGAUGCAGCGACGCCGCGUGAGGGAUGACGGCCUUCGGGCUGUAAACCUCUUUCAGCAGGGACGAAGCGUAAGUGACGGUACCUGCAGAAGAAGCGCCGGCCAACUACGUG